GAGGUUAGUUGAAUGGGAUUCUUCUGACGGAUGCAUCCCACUGAAACUCGCUCGUGUUCGGCAACAGACAAAUCCGGCCGUCUAAAGCGCCCCCACGGCGGCUCCGUUCACCGUUAACUGCCUCUGUGCGGCGGAAGCUCUGCUGCUCAGCCAUGGCUGUUACAUCUUCCAUUCCUUAACAUCAAAUCUCAGCCAAGUUCAACAACCUUCCCUUCUCUUCCCUACUCAUUUCGUUCGGCAUCCUCAAAUAACACCGCACUUCGAUUUUGUUGCUUGGCAGCGUCUUCGAAUUGGGGCAAUUCUGUAAUUUUUCUGUUUCCGGAGCUGUACAAGGAGUUGAAGUCUCGGUACAGAAGGAUUGGAGGCUUGGACUGGCCAACCUGAACAAAAUCCAAGUAUGAGAACGGGGAAAAGCAAUCAGGAAGACGACGAGUACGAUGAGGAUGAGCUGGUUGGUAAAAGAGAGGGGCCUUCUUCUACUUCCAACGCUAUUAGUAGCAUCGGCAACAGCAAAGAUGCGAAGAACAACGAUAAGGCUAAUGCCAUACGGUCGAAGCACUCUGUGACAGAGCAGCGCAGAAGAAGCAAGAUAAAUGAGAGAUUCCAGAUUUUGAGAGAUCUUAUACCUCAUAGUGAUCAAAAGAGAGACACUGCCUCGUUUUUAUUGGAGGUGAUUGAGUAUGUUCAGUAUUUACAGGAGAAGGUGCAGAAGUACGAGGGUUCAUAUCAGAAUUGGAGUGGGGAACCUACUAAGCUAAUACCAUGGAGGAACAGUCAUUGGCGCAUGCAGACUUUUGUUGGGCAUCAACAAUCUGUAAAAAAUGGUUCUGCUUCAGGACCAACUUAUUCUGGGAAGUUUGAUGACAACAACAUUUCUAUUUCACCAGCCAUGCUUGCAAGCUCACAAAAUCCUCUCGACUCCCACUCUGGCAGAGAUAUUCUACAGGAAGCAGACAUAACAAAUAAAGUUCCACAUCCUAUGUCUCUGGAAGGAAAUAUGCAUGCUUCUAUUCGUAGCGACACUGUUCUUGAUCACUCUCUCCACAUCCCAAUUUCUGAUCCACAGGCAACAGAGUGUCCCAUCACCAACAAUGCAUCAAACCAACCAGAAGAGAUGGGUAUUGAAGGGGGGACAAUAAGCGUUUCAAGUGUUUAUUCAGAAGGGUUAGUUGAUUUGGUAACAGCUUUGGACCUUGGUGCCGAGCAGGUUUAUGAACAGCUUGGCUCAAGCUUUGCAGAGUACUGGACUGGAUUUGUCACAAGCUAGCAUCUCUGUUCAGAUUGAUCUGGGCAAGAGAGCAAAUAAGGGGAUGCCAUUUGGAACGCCUAUUUUUAAGGAAACUGGAAAUCCUUCCUCCAACCACCCAGCAAUGGCAAAUGUAGGGGACCUGGGCAGCGGAGAUGACUCAGAACAAGCAAAAAAGCGGCUAAGGACAUGAUAAUCUGCACCACGAGUCCUCGGUUAUUUCUGUUGUGCGAUUACUGUUUCUAAUGUGAAUUAGAAUGUGAUGCUUAUUGUACAGAUUCACUUUUUCUUCUUCUUUUAAUCUUCUUCCUUGACCUUUUAUACAAUUUCUUCAAACUCGUAUUGCUAUGAGUUAGAACAUCAGUGUUAGGAAAUCCAAAGUUAAAAUUUGGUAUUCACUACUCAAAUGUUAGAUUCUCCACUCUCCAUUGCUCUUAUGUUUGUAGUUGUAAUUACAAUAUUAAAAUGUGAACCUCCCAGAAAGAGCUUUAAAAAGGAGAUAUUAUUUCGGUUCUCUCUA
This is an RNA transcript of Cucumis sativus (cucumber), 1766 nucleotides long. It is a transcript of the gene named transcription factor BIM2, with no coding region annotated. The record is from RefSeq and is a predicted model, not a curated record. Lineage: Eukaryota; Viridiplantae; Streptophyta; Magnoliopsida; Cucurbitales; Cucurbitaceae. The transcript is spliced from 7 exons.